RNAcentral lists this long non-coding RNA (1496 nucleotides) under Medicago truncatula (barrel medic). RNAcentral describes it as "lncRNA gene30710". Lineage: Eukaryota; Viridiplantae; Streptophyta; Magnoliopsida; Fabales; Fabaceae. The record is from RNAcentral.
CAUGAAACAAGAUUAUUUGCAUAACUCAUAAUCUAAAAUUCAAUUUAUAGCAACCUAUUAAUUCACCCUUAUUUCAUGCAAAAUUUACGUUUCUCCGACAACACAGCUUUCUGCAAAUCCUCCAUACAUACAUCACCGCCGCAAAACACCAUCCUUGUUCCGCCGUCCACCGCCACAUUCCUCACACUCCUCCACUCACACAAACUUCCAUUCAUAACCUCACAUACAACAAGCUCCUCUAGUACUAACGUGUUCCGCAAGUAAACAAAAUCCCCAACCCAAAUCACUUCAACUGAACCAAACUCUGAAUCACCCUUCAGCUUCUCCACCAUCUCCUUCGGCAUCGAACCGAUUUCUUUCAUUCCCGAACUUAAUCCAUCCUUAACCUCCCACAGCUUCACCUCUCUAACAUUCCCAGCUUCACCCACCAAUCCAACCACCAUCAACUUCUCCGAUGAAGUUCCGGUGACGCAGUAGAAUACACUUUGAUCAGGACAAAGAUAGUAAGGUCCUUCCCAUUUCAUUGCAAUAGCAUUGAAAGAGUAUGUCACACCGGAAUCUUUCUCCGUCACAAGCAUAGUUUCUCCGACGACAGAAACCGACUGCCACGUGGAUGCCGACGUAUUCUUCAUCUUUUUCGGCAUUGAUUGGCAUCUAACCCAAGCAGAACUCUCCAUGUUAUACAUCUCUACAGCAAGAGGAUCAUCCUCGAACUCACACGCACCACCAGCGACAACUACAUGAUUUCCAACGCGCGCUAUUAUUGGGUCCGUGCGCCACACGCGCGGUGAAGGUGCAUGGUGCCAUUUAAGAUGAAGUGCAUCAAUGGAAAAAGUGAACUCCGAUGGGGUCAACGUGUAGAGAAGAGUCGAAUGAGAUGAUCUAACGGUAGGGAAUUCACUAGCUUUGGUGAUCAACGGUUGGUGCUUAAUCUGAAGCCAUGCAUGAGAGCGAGGGUCGUAAGCGUGUUCGGUAACCACUCGCGAAGCGCGUGUGGUUUGCGUGAGAAUUAUGAGCCAUGGUUUGAUUUGUUUGAGGUGUGCGAGUGAGGAGAAAACAGCAUGGUUCCAAACCUUUGAGACAUGACAAGCAGGAACAAGUUCGAUGAGUGGCAUGAGGGAGAAUAUAGCUUCUAAAACAUCGAUUUCAAUGUGUGUUUCUUCUUGGUGUUCUUUUUGUGUGGCAGCCAUUGUAAGAGAAAAAAAAGCUUUGUGUUGAUUUUUGGGUAAUGGAGUUUCGGGUGUGAGAGGGAAUAUGAGUUGGUGGUUUUUGAGAUUUAUAUAAAAGUGGGGAAAAAGCUUUGUGGUUCAAUCAUCAAGGGGUGAUAUUGUCAUGCCACCUAUAUACUUUUUUAAAAUAAUAAACAGGUAGUUGCCACCUAAUGUGCAUUUGGUGACCUAUACAUACAAACGUUUCAAGUUCACGAGUACGAUGUUAAUUUUCAUUUUUAAUAAGUUAAAUUCUUAGAUUUUGGUUGGAUACCAAUUUUCCAUAGA